Non-coding RNA from Pelobates cultripes (western spadefoot toad), 212 nucleotides. The record is from the annotation of a GenBank genome assembly. Lineage: Eukaryota; Metazoa; Chordata; Amphibia; Anura; Pelobatidae.
AGUACCUCUGUUACUUCUUGGCUUCCUAGGUUAUUUUCAGACCAUGCGGUAUCGCCUUGCUGAGUCAAAGUAUUCUGUUAUUUUAUUUUGGGGGUCCCAAUUAUCUAAAUAGUUACUAGCACACUAUAGAGCUCAUAAUACAUGUUUGAAUCCAUGACAGAACCAUGAGAUAUUCCAAUUGUCAAUGCUAAUUCAACUUCAGAACUGCCAAC